UGAGGAAUAUUGCACAAUGGGAAGCCAUCGAUGCAGCAACGACCGCGUGAAGGAAGAAGGUCUUCGGAUUGUAAACUUCUUUAUGAGGGACGAAGGACGUGACGGUACCUCAUGAAUAAGCCACGGCUAACUACGUGCCAGCAGCCGCGGUAAUACGUAGGUGGCAAGCGUUAUCCGGAUUUACUGGGUGUAAAGGGCGCGUAGGCGGGGAGUGCAAGUCAGAUGUGAAAUCUAUGGGCUUAACUCAUAAACUGCAUUUGAAACUGUAUCUCUUGAGUGCUGGAGAGGUAGACGGAAUUCCUUGUGUAGCGGUGAAAUGCGUAGAUAUAAGGAAGAACACCAGUGGCGAAGGCGGUCUACUGGACAGUAACUGACGCUGAGGCGCGAAAGCGUGGGGAGCAAACAGGAUUACAUACC
RNAcentral lists this ribosomal RNA (417 nucleotides) under uncultured bacterium. RNAcentral's name for it is "bacterial SSU rRNA". It matches the Rfam family "Bacterial small subunit ribosomal RNA", at positions 355 to 786 of the family's 1533-position model. The record is from RNAcentral.